RNAcentral lists this ribosomal RNA (433 nucleotides) under uncultured bacterium. RNAcentral's name for it is "partial 16S ribosomal RNA". It matches the Rfam family "Bacterial small subunit ribosomal RNA", at positions 29 to 507 of the family's 1533-position model. The record is from RNAcentral.
AACGAACGCUGGCGGCAUGCCUAACACAUGCAAGUCGAACGAGACCUUCGGGUCUAGUGGCGCACGGGUGCGUAACGCGUGGGAACCUGCCCUUAGGUUCGGAAUAACUCCCCGAAAGGGGUGCUAAUACCGGAUAAUGUCUUCGGACCAAAGAUUUAUCGCUUUUGGAUGGGCCCGCGUUGGAUUAGCUAGUUGGUAGGGUAAAAGCCUACCAAGGCGACGAUCCAUAGCUGGUCGGAGAGGAUGAUCAGCCACACUGGGACUGAGACACGGCCCAGACUCGUACGGGAGGCAGCAGAGGGGAGUAUUGGACAAUGGACGAAAGCCUGAUCCAGCAAUGCCGCGUGAGUGAUGAAGGCCUUAGGGUUGUAAAGCUCUUUUACACGGGAUGAUAAUGACAGUACCGGGAGAAUAAGCACCGGCUAACUACGUG